Molecule: ribosomal RNA, 940 nt
Filed under: uncultured isopod gut bacterium
Lineage: Bacteria
Description: partial 16S ribosomal RNA
Rfam family: Bacterial small subunit ribosomal RNA
Source: RNAcentral
AACGCUGGCGGCAUGCCAAAUACAUGCAAGUCGAACGAACGGACCCUUUGACUGAGGAGUGCUUGCACAAAUCAAGAUUAGGAUUUUCCGUUAGUGGCGAACGGGUGAGUAACACGUGGGUAACCUACCUAGAAGUGAGGGAUAACUAUUGGAAACGAUGGAUAAUACCUCAUAGGAAUAUGAUAUUUAAAGUAUUAUAUUUUAAAGAUGCGUUUGCAUCGCUACUAGAUGGGCCUGCGGUGCAUUAGCUAGUUGGUAAGGUAAGAGCUUACCAAGGCGACGAUGUAUAGCCGGACUGAGAGGUUGAACGGCCACACUGGGACUGAGACACGGCCCAGACACCUACGGGUAGCAGCAGUAGGGAAUUUUUCGCAAUGGACGAAAGUCUGACGGAGCAAUGCCGCGUGAGUGAAGACGUUUUCGGAUUGUAAAACUCUGUUGUGUGGGAAGAACACUAAUGAGAGGAAAUGCUCAUUAAUUGACGCAACCACACCAGAAAGCCACGGCUAACUACGUGCCAGCAGCCGCGGUAAUACGUAGGUGGCGAGCGUUAUCCGGAAUUANUGGGCGUAAAGAGCGUGUAGGCGGUAUGAUAAGUCUGGUGUGAAAUCCNAUGGCCAACCACUAAAUUGCAUUGGGAACUGUCAAACUAAAAUACNGGAAAAGUAAGUGGAAUCCAUGUGUACCGGNGGAUGCUUAAUAUAUGGAGGGACACCAAUNGNGAAAGGNAGCNUACUGGGNCCANAUUGGGGCUGANACCCAAAAACGUNGGGUGCAAACAAGGANUAAAAAACCCGGUNNUCCACNCCCUUAAACAAAGANGUGCAAGGUAUUGGUUAAAUUUCAGUGCCGGNGUUAANNCAUUAAACCCNCCCCCCGAAGGAUUCGGUCCCAAGGNUGAAAACCAAAGGAAUUGCCGGGGANCCCCCAAAUUGNNGGG